GGGGAUGUGGGGGAAUUGGUAGACCCACCUGACUCAAAAUCAGGCGCUGAAAGGCGUGUGGGUUCGAGUCCCACCAUCCCUA
Molecule: transfer RNA, 82 nt
Filed under: Ralstonia phage RSP15
Lineage: Duplodnaviria; Heunggongvirae; Uroviricota; Caudoviricetes; Pantevenvirales; Ackermannviridae
Rfam family: tRNA
About the family: Transfer RNA (tRNA) molecules are approximately 80 nucleotides in length. Their secondary structure includes four short double-helical elements and three loops (D, anti-codon, and T loops). Further hydrogen bonds mediate the characteristic L-shaped molecular structure. tRNAs have two regions of fundamental functional importance: the anti-codon, which is responsible for specific mRNA codon recognition, and the 3' end, to which the tRNAs corresponding amino acid is attached (by aminoacyl-tRNA synthetases). tRNAs cope with the degeneracy of the genetic code in two manners: having more than one tRNA (with a specific anti-codon) for a particular amino acid; and 'wobble' base-pairing, i.e. permitting non-standard base-pairing at the 3rd anti-codon position.
Source: Rfam by way of RNAcentral